RNAcentral lists this ribosomal RNA (664 nucleotides) under uncultured bacterium. RNAcentral describes it as "bacterial SSU rRNA". It matches the Rfam family "Bacterial small subunit ribosomal RNA", at positions 151 to 827 of the family's 1533-position model. The record is from RNAcentral.
UGGAAACGGUGACUAAUACCGCAUGUCAUCACGAGAAGGCAUCUUUUUGUGAGAAAAGGAGUAAUUCGGUAUAGGAUGGGCCCGCAUCUGAUUAGCUAGUUGGUGAGAUAACAGCCCACCAAGGCGACGAUCAGUAGCCGACCUGAGAGGGUGAUCGGCCACAUUGGGACUGAGACACGGCCCAAACUCCUACGGGAGGCAGCAGUGGGGAAUAUUGCACAAUGGGGGAAACCCUGAUGCAGCAACGCCGCGUGAAGGAAGAAGGUUUUCGGAUCGUAAACUUCUAUCAACAGGGACGAAGAAAGUGACGGUACCUGAAUAAGAAGCCCCGGCUAACUACGUGCCAGCAGCCGCGGUAAUACGUAGGGGGCAAGCGUUAUCCGGAAUUACUGGGUGUAAAGGGAGCGUAGGCGGCACGCCAAGCCAGAUGUGAAAGCCCGAGGCUUAACCUCGCGGAUUGCAUUUGGAACUGGCGAGCUAGAGUACAGGAGAGGAAAGCGGAAUUCCUAGUGUAGCGGUGAAAUGCGUAGAUAUUAGGAAGAACACCAGUGGCGAAGGCGGCUUUCUGGACUGAAACUGACGCUGAGGCUCGAAAGCGUGGGGAGCAAACAGGAUUAGAUACCCUGGUAGUCCACGCCGUAAACGAUGAGUGCUAGGUGUCGGG